GAUGAACGCUGGCGGCGUGCCUAAUACAUGCAAGUCGAGCGAACGGACGAGAAGCUUGCUUCUCUGAUGUUAGCGGCGGACGGGUGAGUAACACGUGGAUAACCUACCUAUAAGACUGGGAUAACUUCGGGAAACCGGAGCUAAUACCGGAUAAUAUUUUGAACCGCAUGGUUCAAAAGUGAAAGACGGUCUUGCUGUCACUUAUAGAUGGAUCCGCGCUGCAUUAGCUAGUUGGUAAGGUAACGGCUUACCAAGGCAACGAUGCAUAGCCGACCUGAGAGGGUGAUCGGCCACACUGGAACUGAGACACGGUCCAGACUCCUACGGGAGGCAGCAGUAGGGAAUCUUCCGCAAUGGGCGAAAGCCAGACGGAGCAACGCCGCGUGAAGUGAUGAAGGUCUUCGGAUCGUAAAACUCUGUUAUUAGGGAAGAACAUAUGUGUAAGUAACUGUGCACAUCUUGACGGUACCUAAUCAGAAAGCCACGGCUAACUACGUGCCAGCAGCCGCGGUAAUACGUAGGUGGCAAGCGUUAUCCGGAAUUAUUGGGCGUAAAGCGCGCGUAGGCGGUUUUUUAAGUCUGAUGUGAAAGCCCACGGCUCAACCGUGGAGGGUCAUUGGAAACUGGAAAACUUGAGUGCAGAAGAGGAAAGUGGAAUUCCAUGUGUAGCGGUGAAAUGCGCAGAGAUGUGGAGGAACACCAGUGGCGAAGGCGACUUUCUGGUCUGUAACUGACGCUGAUGUGCGAAAGCGUGGGGAUCAAACAGGAUUAGAUACCCUGGUAGUCCACGCCGUAAACGAUGAGUGCUAAGUGUUAGGGGGUUUCCGCCCCUUAGUGCUGCAGCUAACGCAUUAAGCACUCCGCCUGGGGAGUACGACCGCAAGGUUGAAACUCAAAGGAAUUGACGGGGACCCGCACAAGCGGUGGAGCAUGUGGUUUAAUUCGAAGCAACGCGAAGAACCUUACCAAAUCUUGACAUCCUUUGACAACUCUAGAGAUAGAGCCUUCCCCUUNCGGGGNACAAAGUGACAGGUGGUGCAUGGUUGUCGUCAGCUCGUGUCGUGAGAUGUUGGGUUAAGUCCCGCAACGAGCGCAACCCUUAAGCUUAGUUGCCAUCAUUAAGUUGGGCACUNUAAGUUGACUGCCGGUGACAAACCGGAGGAAGGUGGGGAUGACGUCAAAUCAUCAUGCCCCUUAUGAUUUGGGCUACACACGUGCUACAAUGGACAAUACAAAGGGCAGCGAAACCGCGAGGUCAAGCAAAUCCCAUAAAGUUGUUCUCAGUUCGGAUUGUAGUCUGCAACUCGACUACAUGAAGCUGGAAUCGCUAGUAAUCGUAGAUCAGCAUGCUACGGUGAAUACGUUCCCGGGUCUUGUACACACCGCCCGUCACACCACGAGAGUUUGUAACACCCGAAGCCGGUGGAGUAACCUUUUAGGAGCUAGCCGUCGAAGGUGGGACAAAUGAUUGGGGUGAAGUCGUAACAAGGUAGCCGUAUCGGAAGG
This 1506-nucleotide ribosomal RNA is filed under the name uncultured bacterium. Its description in RNAcentral is "16S ribosomal RNA". It matches the Rfam family "Bacterial small subunit ribosomal RNA". The record is from RNAcentral.